RNAcentral lists this ribosomal RNA (792 nucleotides) under Smithiomyces mexicanus. RNAcentral's name for it is "LSU rRNA". It matches the Rfam family "Eukaryotic large subunit ribosomal RNA", at positions 162 to 940 of the family's 3401-position model. The record is from RNAcentral. Lineage: Eukaryota; Fungi; Basidiomycota; Agaricomycetes; Agaricales; Agaricaceae.
UACCCGCGCUGGACCGUGUACAAGUCUCCUGGAAUGGAGCGUCAUAGAGGGUGAGAAUCCCGUCUCUGACACGGACUACCAGGGCUUUGUGGUAUGCUCUCAAAGAGUCGAGUUGUUUGGGAAUGCAGCUCAAAAUGGGUGGUAAAUUCCAUCUAAAGCUAAAUAUUGGCGAGAGACCGAUAGCGAACAAGUACCGUGAGGGAAAGAUGAAAAGAACUUUGGAAAGAGAGUUAAACAGUACGUGAAAUUGCUGAAAGGGAAACGCUUGAAGUCAGUCACGUUGGCCAGGGAUCAGCCUUGCUUUUUUUGCUUGGUGCACUUUCUGGUUGACGGGUCAGCAUCAAUUUUGACCACUGGAAAAAGGCUUAAGAAAUGUGGCAGCUCCGGCUGUGUUAUAGUCUUGGGUCACAUACAGUGGUUGGGAUUGAGGCACUCAGCACGCCGCAAGGCCGGGUUUCGACCACGUUCGUGCUUAGGAUGCUGGCAUAAUGGCUUUAAGCGACCCGUCUUGAAACACGGACCAAGGAGUCUAACAUGCUUGCGAGUGUUUGGGUGGUAAACCCGAGCGCGUAAUGAAAGUGAAAGUUGAGAUCCCUGUCGUGGGGAGCAUCGACGCCCGGACCAGAACUUUUGGGACGGAUCCGCGGUGGAGCAUGUAUGUUGGGACCCGAAAGAUGGUGAACUAUGCCUGAAUAGGGUGAAGCCAGAGGAAACUCUGGUGGAGGCUCGUAGCGAUUCUGACGUGCAAAUCGAUCGUCAAAUUUGGGUAUAGGGGCGAAAGACUAAUCGAAC